This 162-nucleotide ribosomal RNA is filed under the name Fusarium oxysporum. RNAcentral's name for it is "partial large subunit ribosomal RNA". It matches the Rfam family "Eukaryotic large subunit ribosomal RNA", at positions 99 to 261 of the family's 3401-position model. Lineage: Eukaryota; Fungi; Ascomycota; Sordariomycetes; Hypocreales; Nectriaceae. The record is from RNAcentral.
CGGUAACAGCUCAAAUUUGAAAUCUGGCUCUUUUAGGGUCCGAGUUGUAAUUUGUAGAGGAUACUUUUGAUGCGGUGCCUUCCGAGUUCCCUGGAACGGGACGCCAUAGAGGGUGAGAGCCCCGUCUGGUUGGAUGCCAAAUCUCUGUAAAGUUCCUUCAAC